Molecule: ribosomal RNA, 450 nt
Filed under: uncultured bacterium
Lineage: Bacteria
Description: bacterial SSU rRNA
Rfam family: Bacterial small subunit ribosomal RNA
Source: RNAcentral
GUGGGGAAUAUUGGACAAUGGGCGAAAGCCUGAUCCAGCCAUGCCGCGUGUGUGAAGAAGGUCUUCGGAUUGUAAAGCACUUUAAGUUGGGAGGAAGGGCAGUAAGUUAAUACCUUGCUGUUUUGACGUUACCGACAGAAUAAGCACCGGCUAACUUCGUGCCAGCAGCCGCGGUAAUACGAAGGGUGCAAGCGUUAAUCGGAAUUACUGGGCGUAAAGCGCGCGUAGGUGGUUUUGUAAGUUGGAGGUGAAAUCCCCGGGCUCAACCUGGGAACUGCCUCCAAAACUGCAUGACUAGAGUACGGUAGAGGGUAGUUGAAUUUCCUGUGUAGCGGUGAAAUGCGUAGAUAUAGGAAGGAACACCAGUGGCGAAGGCGACUACCUGGACUGAUACUGACACUGAGGUGCGAAAGCGUGGGGAGCAAACAGGAUUAGAAACCCUGGUAGUCC